ACUCACCGAUAAAGAGUUGAGUGGCGAACGGGUGAGUAACACGUGGGCAACCUGCCCAAAAGAGGGGGAUAACACUUGGAAACAGGUGCUAAUACCGCAUAACCAUAGUUACCGCAUGGUAACUAUGUAAAAGGUGGCUAUGCUACCGCCUUGGAUGGGCCCGCGGCGCAUUAGCUAGUUGGUGGGGUAAAGGCUUACCCAAGGCAAUGAUGCGUAGCCGAACUGAGAGGUUGAUCGGCCACAUUGGGACUGAGACACGGCCCAAACUCCUACGGGAGGCAGCAGUAGGGAAUCUUCCACAAUGGGCGAAAGCCUGAUGGAGCAACGCCGCGUGGGUGAAGAAGGUCUUCGGAUCGUAAAACCCUGUUGUUAGAGAAGAAAGUGCGUGAGAGUAACUGUUCACGUUUCGACGGUAUCUAACCAGAAAGCCACGGCUAACUACGUGCCAGCAGCCGCGGUAAUACGUAGGUGGCAAGCGUUAUCCGGAUUUAUUGGGCGUAAAGGGAACGCAGGCGGUCUUUUAAGUCUGAUGUGAAAGCCUUCGGCUUAACCGGAGUAGUGCAUUGGAAACUGGGAGACUUGAGUGCAGAAGAGGAGAGUGGAACUCCAUGUGUAGCGGUGAAAUGCGUAGAUAUAUGGAAGAACACCAGU
RNAcentral lists this ribosomal RNA (651 nucleotides) under uncultured Lactobacillus sp. RNAcentral's name for it is "bacterial SSU rRNA". It matches the Rfam family "Bacterial small subunit ribosomal RNA", at positions 66 to 713 of the family's 1533-position model. Lineage: Bacteria; Bacillati; Bacillota; Bacilli; Lactobacillales; Lactobacillaceae. The record is from RNAcentral.